RNAcentral lists this ribosomal RNA (500 nucleotides) under uncultured bacterium. RNAcentral's name for it is "partial 16S ribosomal RNA". It matches the Rfam family "Bacterial small subunit ribosomal RNA", at positions 30 to 523 of the family's 1533-position model. The record is from RNAcentral.
AUUGAGCGCUGGCGGAAUGCUUUACACAUGCAAGUCGAACGGCAGCACGGACUUCGGUCUGGUGGCGAGUGGCGAACGGGUGAGUAAUGUAUCGGAACGUGCCCAGUCGUGGGGGAUAACGUAGUGAAAAUUACGCUAAUACCGCAUACGAUCUAUGGAUGAAAGCGGGGGAUCGCAAGACCUCGCGCGAUUGGAGCGGCCGAUAUCAGAUUAGGUAGUUGGUGGGGUAAAGGCUCACCAAGCCAACGAUCUGUAGCUGGUCUGAGAGGACGACCAGCCACACUGGAACUGAGACACGGUCCAGACUCCUACGGGAGUCAGCAGUGGGGAAUUUUGGACAAUGGGCGAAAGCCUGAUCCAGCCAUUCCGCGUGCAGGAUGAAGGCCCUCGGGUUGUAAACUGCUUUUGUACAGAACGAAAAGGUUUCUACUAAUACUAGGAGCUCAUGACGGUACUGUAAGAAUAAGCACCGGCUAACUACGUGCCAGCCGCCGCCGUAA